AGGUCUUCCAGGUGACAUCUUGGGUAUCAGGGGCAGAGACACCUGCAGUGAAGGGGUGUUAGCACUGAGGGAGAACAGCCACUUUGUAGCCUUCAGUAAUACCAAGGUGUAUCUGUGUACUGCUAGUACAGUGGAGCAGUUAGAAUGGCCACAAACACUACUACAACUAGAGAACCUAUUAUUACAGGAUCCACAGGUUCAGGAUGUGGCUUUCAAUACAUUCCCAGGGUCAGUAGGAAUAUUGCUAGCCAUCAAUGCUAAUGGACAGUCAAAGGUUAUAGUAUUGCUGUAUAACAUAUAUGAAGAUGUUUGGGAGAUUACACCUAUGUGGAUGGAUUUUAACAUUACAG
Molecule: long non-coding RNA, 350 nt
Organism: Lingula anatina
Lineage: Eukaryota; Metazoa; Brachiopoda; Lingulata; Lingulida; Lingulidae
Source: RefSeq, a predicted model, not a curated record